This 478-nucleotide ribosomal RNA is filed under the name uncultured fungus. RNAcentral describes it as "eukaryotic LSU rRNA". The stretch from base 136 to 289 matches the Rfam family "5.8S ribosomal RNA". The record is from RNAcentral. Lineage: Eukaryota; Fungi.
ACCGUGGGGUUUCGGCCCCAUUGAGAUAGCACCCUUUGUUUAUGAGUACCCUUGUUUCCUCGGCGGGCUUGCCCGCCAUGAGGACAUCAAAAACCCUUUGUAGUAGCAGUAACUUCAGUUAAUAAUAAAUAUUAAAACUUUCAACAACGGAUCUCUUGGUUCUGGCAUCGAUGAAGAACGCAGCGAAAUGCGAUAAGUAAUGUGAAUUGCAGAAUUCAGUGAAUCAUCGAAUCUUUGAACGCACAUUGCGCCCCCUGGUAUUCCGGGGGGCAUGCCUGUCCGAGCGUCAUUACAACCCUCAAGCUCAGCUUGGUGUUGGGCCCCGCCGCCCCGGCGGGCCCUAAAGUCAGUGGCGGUGCCGUCCGGCUCCGAGCGUAGUAAUUCUUCUCGCUCUGGAGGUCCGGUCGUGUGCUCGCCAGCAACCCCCAAUUUUUUUCAGGUUGACCUCGGAUCAGGUAGGGAUACCCGCUGAACUUAA